ACUUCCAUGGAUGUAGAUAACCAAACGACGCCGUUGAAACCGCACAACACACACCAACCAUCGAGAAAUAAGCAGGAAACAUCUUGCUUUGCAAAUUACCGAACGUAUGCCUCGGAAGAUUCCUGAGUCAUCAUUAUACUUCUCAAUCAUAACAAUUAAAAAAUUUAGAGGAACUAUCCAGUACCUCCCUUUGGUCGCCGAUAAAAUUUGGGAAAAAAUGACCUAGAUUUUCUCGGCAAACAAACCGAGCACAACAGGCAAAAUUGGGUCGAAAAGAAUUAUUACUUGAACAUUAUGAUGCCGCCGAUGAAGGUGACCCAGAGAGCGGCGCCCCAAGCGGUGGCGAAGCAGAGCAGGUGAGCGAGUUUGAGGGCAGCGGUUAGCUUUGACGAAUGGCUACCGUCUGAUUUGGAUCCGAAUGUCUCCGGCGAGAAAAUAACUCCGACGGCCAAGAAAGUGACGGCGCCGAGAAACCGAGUCAGCCAACCCAUUUCUGACGACGGAGUGACUCACUGAAUCUAGUUCCGAUAUGGCAACGUUGAAGGAGCAGGUACGAUUAAGAGAGCAACACCUGGCCGACUCGUUCUUCUUCCUUGACUAGUGGGUCACGUUGAUAUAUAAAUUAUUAAGUUCCCAAAAACACCCUUCUUGUUUUCGGGGUACACGUUAUGAUUGAAUAGAAUGUUGACGUGGUAUUAUUUAAAACUGCCACGUAUGUAAACGAAAAAGGAAAAAGAUGGUUGUGGAUAGAAUACUGCCUCGUUCGUUCAUUUUCCCAUUUUUAGCUUUAAGUUCAAGUUAAAGCUCAAAUCAAAGCCACGGAUUUUAAACGGUAAUUAGUUUAUAAGAGUUUUAUUAAAUAACUUUUUUAUAAGCUAACAUAUUAUUUUUCCAAAAACUAAUAUUUCCAUUUUUUUUUUUGGGGAAAAACAUUUUUUUUAAAUACAAUUAGCCAAAUAAGCAUAUAACCUUUUAUUAAAUUUAUAAAAAUGAUUAAUUGAAUCAAAUAAAUUUAAUGAUAUAUAAAAACGAAAAUAUUGAGAUAUAUCGUAUCGAAAGAAACGGAUACGAUAUAUAUCUAUUUGAAAAAUAUUGAUAAUCUCAUAUUUAUAGAGGAUACAAGCAAAAAAUCAAUCUUAGAUAGAAAAAAAAAACUUGAAAUUUUUUAUAUAUUAGAGAAUUGAUAUUAUAUAUUAUAAGAUAAGAUGUGUAUAUAAUAUAAUAUUUUAAAGUAUUAUAUGAAAAGAGAUAUGUCAUAUCAUAUUUAUAUUUAAAUUUUAAAAUAAAUAAAUAUUUAUUUGAAAUAAAAAUUACACUACACUUUAAUAUUUUUUAUUAAAAAAAAAAAGAAUCUUUCACAUGUUCAAUAGUAUUAAAAAAGAAUUCAAUCACUAUAAUUUUUAUUUUUUACUAACAAUAUUUAUUAUUAAAAUAUUUAAAAUGUAUAAAUAAAAAAUAUUAUAUUAUAUUCUUAAAAUAUAUAAAACAAUUAGCAUAUACUAAAUAAUACAUUUUAUUAUUUUUUAUUACAAAUUAAAUUUUUUAUCUAAAAUUUAUUGAUUUAUAAAAUGAAUAAAAUAGAAAAUUAAAAGAUAAAAUAAAGAAUAUAUAUAAUAUACUAACUGAGGUUUGAAUUACUGUUUACUCUAGAUGGCGGAUUAAUGUGAACAACCAAACAUGACCUUCCUAAUUUUGUUGGAUGGUGGAUUAAUGUGACCGGUGUAGGGACCCCUCUCCCUGAUAACACGUGGUACACAUCUCCUGAUAACACAUGACACACAUCUCCUGAUGACGCAUGACACACAUUCUCAUCCGGAUCAACCUCAUCCGGAUUUCCCUAAGAGUAUACGUGGCGCGCCUCUCCUAUCCGGACUCCCUCAAGGAGAGGCACACGACACUCACAAGCAUAACAUUCGGACGACUGCCACAACGCAUCCGAACGACCGACAUACACUAUCCGGGUAUGUUUGUCCGGAUCAUUGACUAAAGUAAGCAAGUCUUACACGUUAUCACAACAGUCUGCCAUGACCCACGUUCCAUCACCUGCAGAGUGAAAAGAUAAGAAUGAAGUGACGACAAGUCAUUUCCUACGAUCACUUCCCACGAUCACCUACCACGACUUCUGACAGUCGCAACACCUACCACGAUCUCUGGCAACCGCCUGUAGGGUGAUGAUGACCUUGCCACCACCUAGUGUCAUCAUGACAACACAAAAUAUCUCCCUGCCAUUAAAGAGAGAAACAAAGCUUCUGAUACUAUAUAUAUGAACCUUCACACAAAGAGGAAGGUAAGCUUGCUAUACCUAGUAAAAGGCCAACUGAUUUAUCUCUAUCUCUCUAACCAUGGCUGACAAAACCAUCGGAGGGUGCGUCCGGACACCCUGUCCGGACGCCUUUUGCAGGUAAUACGAUUGAAUCAAGAAUCUAUAUUAGUUGAGAUCGUGCGUCCACCCAUUUGGCAACUACGUGGAUCACCAGGGACGCGAGGCCUCAACAUUGGCGCCGUCUGUGGGAGCAUAUCACUGAUUCAGUCACCAGCAAAGAUGACCACACCUUCCCAAAGUCGUUCAUCUGGUAGGGAACAGGAAGAUAAUUCUGAAUGGCGCCGAGCCAUCGAAAGAAGACAGUUGGCAAGCGAGCGACAAUUGAAAGCUCUCUUCCAGGAGACAGAAAGAUUAAGAGAAGAAAACGCAGUACUAUGCAUCCAGGCUUCAACAUCAGGGCCUCCCCGUCUGCAACGUUCGAGAGGCCAGGUAGCAAACUCAAGGUCAGAACCAGAGUCAAUAUAUCCUGGGACAGCGGGAGCUAUCCCAGAAACGUACAACGUGAGGCCACAUGAGCCAUACACGCCCAUGCCUCGAGCUCCCCGUGAGGAAAGCUCGGACUCCACUCAUUUUUCAACAAAAAGGCAACGCGACAGAAAAUCUCAGUUGUCAAAUUCAAUACGUGCAAGACUAGGCCCACAAGAGCCUGGGAGACCAAGAUCACCAGCAGCCACAACCUGGGCAGCACGCCCUGACCAUGUGGUCACCCCCAUGGUGCAGAACGUGCUCCCGCACCGUGACCCUAUGGUCACCCUCAUGGUGCGGAACGUUCACUCGCAUCUAGCGGCGCGACAAGAUGGGAGAAACCUCCCAAACGAGCCACCCAUUGGCUCCAUCAGCAAAAGGCUGGACGACAUGCUCUUCACGCCUUUCUACUCUCACAUCAUUCAUUAUGAGCCCCCAAGGGGAUUCCUCGUACCAAAAUUCUCCACAUACGAUGGGUCCAGCGACCCCUUCGACCAUAUCAUGCAUUAUCGACAGCUCAUGACGCUCGAUAUUGGCAACGACGCGCUGCUGUGCAAAGUAUUCCCCGCCAGUCUACAAGGGCAGACCCUUUCAUGGUUUCAUCGUCUACCUCCCAAUUCUGUUGGCAAUUUCAGGGACCUAUCCGAAGCUUUCGUGGGACAAUACUUGUGCUCCGCUCGACACAAGCAGAACAUCAGCACUCUGCAAAACAUAAAAAUACAGGAUAACGAAUCCUUAAGGGAGUUCGUGAAGUGGUUUGGUCAAGCCGUGCUUCAAGUAGAGGCUUGCAGUAUGGAUGCUGUCCUACAGAUCUUCAAAUGAAGCAUCUGUCCAGGCACACCAUUUUUCGAAUCACUAGCUAAAAAGUCUCCUACAACGAUGGACGACUUGUUCAGACGUGCAAACAAAUACUCAAUGCUCAAAGAUGACGUACGAGCAGCCACCCAGCAAGUCCUAGUUGCUGGGCAAGCAUCUAGAAGUGGCACGGAAAGAAGUGCCAAACCUCCGGACCAGCCGAGGCCGUCAGAUCGAAGACAGGAGGGACCAAGUCGCCUGGAAAGGCCACCCCUCAUGCCACUUUCCAUAUCAUAUGAAAAACUUCUUCCUAUGAUCCAAGGUUUGUCCGACUUCAGGUGGCCUAUACCCCUCAGAACGGACCCAACCAAAAGAGAUCAUAGCAAGAAAUGUGUCUUCCACAAGGAGCAUGGUCACACAACGGAAGAAUGCAGGUGCCUCCAUUAUUUGGUCGAAAGGCUCAUAAGGGCGGGACACUUAAAGCAAUACCUCCGCUCAGAAGCCGGAGGUAGAGACGCUUCCCAAAAUCACAACUCUGGAGCCCCCAGGGCCUUGGCCGCCCCCAAGGCCGUUAUAAACUACAUUAACGGAGGCCCAUCUGACGAGGAGUAUGACUCUAAACGAAAGAGACAAAAGUUGUUAAGAGCUGCAUCAGUGUGUGAGCGUAUCAACUCCAUCCGGCCUGGACUAACUGGAGAGGGCCCUCGCCCCAUAGAUAGGAUAAUCAUUUUCCCACCAGUAGACCCCAACCAUAGAGAAAUAAGCAGGAAACAUCUUGCUUUGCAAAUUACCGAAUGCCUCGGAAGAUUCCCGAGUCAUCAUUAUACUUCUCAAUCAUUACAAUUAAAAAAAAAUUACAGUAACUAUCCAGUACCUCCUUUUGGUCGCCAAUAAAAUUUGGGAAAAAAUAACCUACAUUUUCUCAGCGACCAAACAGAGCACAACAGGCAAAAUCGGGUCAUAAAGAAUUAUUACUUGAACAUUAUGAUGACGCCAAUGAAGGUGACCUAGAGAGAUGCGCCCCAAGCGAUGGCGAAGCAGAGGAGGUGAAAGAGUUUGAGGGCAGCGGUUAUCUUUGACGAAUGGAUACCGUUCGAUUCGGAUCCGAAUGUCUCCGGCAAUAAUAUAACUCCGAUUGCCAAGAAACUGAGG
This 4735-nucleotide long non-coding RNA is filed under the name Vitis vinifera (wine grape). Its description in RNAcentral is "long non-coding RNA (VVIN_LNC002064)". Lineage: Eukaryota; Viridiplantae; Streptophyta; Magnoliopsida; Vitales; Vitaceae. The record is from RNAcentral.